RNAcentral lists this ribosomal RNA (797 nucleotides) under uncultured marine bacterium. Its description in RNAcentral is "bacterial SSU rRNA". It matches the Rfam family "Bacterial small subunit ribosomal RNA", at positions 61 to 848 of the family's 1533-position model. The record is from RNAcentral.
GUCGAGGGGCAGCAUAAAUUACUUGUAAUUUGAUGGCGACCGGCGAACGGGUGCGUAACGCGUAUGCAACCUACCUUUUACUAGAGAAUAGCCAAGAGAAAUUUUGAUUAAUGCUCUAUACACUUUAAGACUCACAUGAGUCUAAAAGAAAAGCUCCGGCGGUAAAAGAUGGGCAUGCGUUCUAUUAGCUUGUAGGUGAGGUAACGGCUCACCUAAGCUUCGAUAGAUAGGGGUCCUGAGAGGGAGACCCCCCACACUGGUACUGAGACACGGACCAGACUUCUACGGAAGGCAGCAGUAAGGAAUAUUGGACAAUGGAGGCAACUCUGAUCCAGCCAUGCCGCGUGAAGGAAGAAGGCCCUAUGGGUCGUAAACUUCUUUUAUACAGGAAGAAAUCUUUCCACGUGUGGAAAGUUGACGGUACUGUAAGAAUAAGGAUCGGCUAACUCCGUGCCAGCAGCCGCGGUAAUACGGAGGAUCCAAGCGUUAUCCGGAAUUAUUGGGUUUAAAGGGUCCGCAGGCCGUUUGUUAAGUUAGAGGUGAAAUCCUACCGCUCAACGGUAGAACUGCCUUUAAAACUGGCAAACUUGAGUUAUUGUGAAGUAAUUAGAAUGUGUAGUGUAGCGGUGAAAUGCAUAGAUAUUACACAGAAUACCGAUUGCGAAAGCAGAUUACUAACAAUUAACUGACGCUGAGGGACGAAAGCGUGGGUAGCGAACAGGAUUAGAUACCCUGGUAGUCCACGCCGUAAACGAUGGUCACUAGCUGUUUGAUGUACAUUGGUACAUUGAGUGGCU